CCUACGGGGGGCAGCAGCGGGGGAUCUUGCGCAAUGGGCGAAAGCCUGACGCAGCGACACCGCGUGGGGGAAGAAGGCCUUCGGGUUGUAAACCCCUUUUCUCAGGGAUGAGUAAGGACAGUACCUGAGGAAUAAGCCUCGGCCAACUACGUGCCAGCAGCCGCGGUAAGACGUAGGAGGCAAGCGUUAUCCGGAAUUACUGGGCGUAAAGGGGAGGUAGGCGGCCCCUUAAGUUCGGGGUGAAAUCUUUCGGCUUAACCGAAAGGGGCCUCCGAAAACGGGGGGGCUUGAGGGCAGCAGAGGGAGGUGGAAUUCCCGGUGGAGCGGUGAAAUGCGUAGAUAUCGGGAGGAACAC
RNAcentral lists this ribosomal RNA (355 nucleotides) under uncultured bacterium. RNAcentral's name for it is "partial 16S ribosomal RNA". It matches the Rfam family "Bacterial small subunit ribosomal RNA", at positions 338 to 709 of the family's 1533-position model. The record is from RNAcentral.